Molecule: long non-coding RNA, 1123 nt
Organism: Xiphophorus couchianus (Monterrey platyfish)
Lineage: Eukaryota; Metazoa; Chordata; Actinopteri; Cyprinodontiformes; Poeciliidae
Exons: 3
Source: RefSeq, a predicted model, not a curated record
AUGUAAUCAAUGACAUCAUGAACCUAUUCAACCAGGAAGUGUUUGGCCCGCCUCUCCCAUUGACCUGCUCUGGAUUUAGGAUCAGUACAAAAGGACAAUGAGACAUCAGAGAGGCUGACUGAUUUGAGAUGUUCUGCUUUUCGGAUUUGCAUCUUUUUUUAAAACCUCGCCCAGCUGGACAAUUCCCAGCGAUUCCAGACUCUUCGGAUACAGAGCGCUGAGCAAAUUAGCUUGCUGCCUGUCAUUCCACCUAUCAGAGAGAAACAGAGGAAGAAUCUUCAAAUGCUUCGGAGGGGUAAACUGCGCUGCAAAAAAUUCCUGUGAGGGAAUGACUGUCAACGGCCUGUCAAGUUCAAAGGAAUCAUCAGACCGGGACAUUACCUCUAUAGUCCUGAAGCAGUAAACAAUGCAGUCAAGACUUUUCAUGCACAUUAGCAAAGCCCCUAAUGAUAAUGUGAUCUGUGUGGAAACAUGAAUAAGCAUGAACAUGUCAUAUUGCUUCAAAAGUGUUAGUCAUUUGAAGUUAUUUAUGAAAAUCAAUUGAGAAAUUGACCCUAGGGUAUAUGCAAAUCCUUGUUCUGAGAGAACUGCAUUUAAGAUGGCAUAAUUGUGGUGUAAUUUGGGAAAUGUAAGUUUGAAUUUAUCUACAUUUUUUUAUUUUGCUCUGGGCCACAUGCAUUUCAUUUUUGAAAAGGAUGAUGUUGGGAGUUUGUGUAAAGGCCUGUGGGUUUUUGUGGAUGUAUAGAAAAUGCUUGUAGAAGAAAAAGAUGGAUUUGCUUAAUAAUACCACAUUCCUACCUAACCUAAAGCAAAAAGAAACAUAAUCUUCUACCAAACUCUAAAUUUCUCUGCUUUGUGAACCAGGCUGAAUUCAGUUUAAUAUCAAAAAUAAUUUUAUAUUCUAGUUGCAUUUAAGUGUGUCAUUGAUAUUUCAUCAACCAUGCUUUUAAAUGAUUAUUGACUUUUCUUAGAUUUAGAGGUGAAAUCAAAAGACUGUGAUAUCAGAGUGAAGCUAUUAAGGAACUGAUGAGUGUUUCAUGUCAAUGGUAAUUUAAAAAUAUAUUCUAAUGGUUUAAAAUAGGAAAAUUACGUGAUUAGCCAUUAUUUUUUUAAUGGCUAAUUA